CUAAAAACCCAUACAUUUUAUUUUUAAGACCUCAAAUCAGGUGGGACUACCCGCUGAACUUAAGCAUAUC
This 70-nucleotide ribosomal RNA is filed under the name Puccinia recondita. RNAcentral describes it as "partial 28S ribosomal RNA". The record is from RNAcentral. Lineage: Eukaryota; Fungi; Basidiomycota; Pucciniomycetes; Pucciniales; Pucciniaceae.